RNAcentral lists this ribosomal RNA (907 nucleotides) under uncultured Acidobacteriota bacterium. RNAcentral's name for it is "bacterial SSU rRNA". It matches the Rfam family "Bacterial small subunit ribosomal RNA", at positions 8 to 916 of the family's 1533-position model. The record is from RNAcentral. Lineage: Bacteria; Pseudomonadati; Acidobacteriota.
AGAGUUUGAUCCUGGCUCAGAAUCAACGCUGGCGGCGUGCCUAACACAUGCAAGUCGAACGAGAAAGUGGGGGCAACCCCGCGAGUACAGUGGCAGACGGGUGAGUAACACGUGAACAACCUACCCUCGAGUGGGGAAUAACACCGCGAAAGCGGUGCUAAUACCGCAUAACAUCCUUGGGGCGCAUGUCCUGGGGAUCAAAAGCGAAAGUUGCUCGAGGAGGGGUUCGCGCCUGAUUAGCUAGUUGGUGAGGUAACGGCCCACCAAGGCGACGAUCAGUAGCCGGCCUGAGAGGGCGAACGGCCACACUGGAACUGAGACACGGUCCAGACUCCUACGGGAGGCAGCAGUGGGGAAUUUUGCGCAAUGGACGAAAGUCUGACGCAGCAACGCCGCGUGGAGGAUGAAGGCCUUCGGGUCGUAAACUCCUGUCAGGGGGGACGAAAACCUUAACGGGUCUGACUGUACCCCCUGAGGAAGCCACGGCUAACUCCGUGCCAGCAGCCGCGGUAAUACGGAGGUGGCAAGCGUUGUUCGGAAUUACUGGGCGUAAAGGGCGCGUAGGCGGCAUGGCAAGUCAGAUGUGAAAGCCCCGGGCUUAACUCGGGAAUUGCAUCUGAGACUGCUUUGCUUGAGUCCUGGAGGGGGUAGUGGAAUUCCCAGUGUAGCGGUGAAAUGCGUAGAUAUUGGGAGGAACACCUGUGGCGAAGGCGGCUACCUGGACAGUGACUGACGCUGAUGCGCGAAAGCUAGGGGAGCAAACGGGAUUAGAUACCCCGGUAGUCCUAGCCGUAAACGAUGGGCACUUGGUGUCGGGGGUAUUGAGUCCCCCGGUGCCGGAGUUAACACGUUAAGUGCCCCGCCUGGGGAGUACGGUCGCAAGACUGAAACUCAAAGGAAUUGACGG